Molecule: ribosomal RNA, 426 nt
Filed under: Triticum aestivum (bread wheat)
Lineage: Eukaryota; Viridiplantae; Streptophyta; Magnoliopsida; Poales; Poaceae
Description: partial small subunit ribosomal RNA
Source: RNAcentral
AUGGAGAUCCUCAAUGAGUUCGGAAAAGCCAUUGGCCUACAUGUCAACCUGGUGAAAUCAACAGCAACACCGGUCAGAUGCGAGAAUUUUGAUCUCGUUGAGAUCCUCGGUAGUUUUGGAGGCUCCAUUACCUUCUUCCCUAUAAAAUACUUAGGCCUCCCCAUGACGACCGUGCGGCUUAGAUUAGUGCACCUGCAGUUCCUCAUCGAUAGAAUUAGAGCUAGGUUAGCAGGAUGGAAAGGUCGGCUGCUCCCUUUUGCCAGUAGAAGAGUGCAGGUCCGGAGCGUCCUCAGCGCGAUGCCCACCUUUGCCCUCUUAGUGCUGCGAGUGCCACCAAAGCUUCUCAAGGAGAUUGACAAGUGCAGGAGGAGAUUCCUUUGGAAGCAGGAGGAGGAAAUAACAGGGGCGAGCUGCAAGGUAAACUAG